UGGAUGGUUCAUGCAGUGUCCUGGGAAAUGAGGUCCUGAUCCAUGAAGGAUGUCUCUGCGUUAAAAGGAAUAAAGUGUAGCAACAAUCUUUGUUGAAAGCAGUUGAACAAGAGGGGGUCAUUUUUUGCUGCAGAUAGAGGAGGAGUAGGAUUUCACAGGAAAGCCUGGUCCCUCAAGCCCUUUAUAGAGUUUUCUUCUAUCAAAAAUCUUCAGUUAAUCCAUGAUGGGGAGCCUGGCUGUUUGCUUCGAAUGGAGGUGGAGCUGUUAUCGGGCGGAAGAGAUCAAAGGUUGUCCUUUUCAUAGCAAUUCAGGCCUCUGAGCAGCAAUUGCCAUGGAGAAGUGUCCGUCAUGGCUAUAAACUGGCUUUGAUCUGUCUGCUGUUUGGCUGAUAGAAGGUUAAAAAUAAAGAAGGAAUUUGCUUAAUUUUAGCCCAUUGUAGCAAACACAGGAAGCACAACAAUUCUCUCCUCACCUACUGAAGAUUACUACAGAAUCUACACAUACAGAACUAGAAACAAUUCUCCAGGGGGGAAAAAAAGGUCUAGAAAUCAAUAACAGAGUAAAACAGCAAGUCCCUGACCUCUAGCUCAUUAUUUUAAAUUGGUUGUAGUUUAGUAGUGAAUAAGUAUCUGUAGCAACGCAUGAAAAUGAACUUCUUGUGUCCCAGAACAAUUCUUUAUCAUCCAGACGUGGAAAAGGCACUGAAUUCUUCCAUGAAUCACUAGUGCUAUGCUGGACUGUUGUUGUUUUGUAGCAGUAUCUGCAAUUAAAGAAUUAGGCCUUCACUGCAUUUUCUGUGAUGGAGGCACCCAGCAGAAGACAGCAAGCUAUCUCAUUUGCCAAUGGGAGGGGGAUUGGCACUUCCAAAUGGGCCAUUCAAGCUAUCCUCAGGUAAAUGUCUGAGCGAGGUGCUCCUACCCUCCUUCAGGAGGCAGUUGUCUCCAUUUUUGAGACCGAAAGCCACAAGUAGUUCAGAUUAAUCACCUAAAGUUAGGAGCCUAGAGUAUGGUAAUGUUGCCCCCCUCCUUCAAAUCAACCAUGAAAUGCACAAAUUGAAAGUGUGAGACUGAUGUUUUUGUCCUGCGUUUUUCACCACGUGUGCACUGGACUGUUCUGUUUUGGUAGACAGAUUUCUUCAGUGCACUUAUGUGAAAAAAGCAUACAUGAAUAAAGCGAGCCUAGCAGUAGGCAGAAGUUAGUAAGGUUAAGCUGACCAUCAGUGUCUUGGCUGUAUAGCAAAUGUUUAUCUUAUUCUAAUGGGGUGGAGAUGCCAGCUAUCUCCUUAUUCCUGACAAAAGUGAUUUAGAGUCAUUUACAUCCAGGGUACAGUUCUAUAGGUAGUAGCUUUCUUUUGCUGGGAGUAUUUUAAGAUUUCAAGAGAUGCUCCUACACAAAAUCAGGAAGAAAAUUCAAACUUCCGAGCAGUUAAAAAAAAAAAAAAAGGGCUUUUCUUUCCCCAAUAUAUUA
This is a long non-coding RNA of Cuculus canorus (common cuckoo), 1467 nucleotides long. RefSeq lists it as uncharacterized. Lineage: Eukaryota; Metazoa; Chordata; Aves; Cuculiformes; Cuculidae. The record is from RefSeq and is a predicted model, not a curated record. The transcript is spliced from 3 exons.